This 412-nucleotide ribosomal RNA is filed under the name Bacillus mycoides. RNAcentral's name for it is "bacterial SSU rRNA". It matches the Rfam family "Bacterial small subunit ribosomal RNA", at positions 386 to 789 of the family's 1533-position model. RNAcentral also lists the same sequence under 1 other name. Lineage: Bacteria; Bacillati; Bacillota; Bacilli; Caryophanales; Bacillaceae. The record is from RNAcentral.
ACGGAGCAACGCCGCGUGAGUGAUGAAGGCUUUCGGGUCGUAAAACUCUGUUGUUAGGGAAGAACAAGUGCUAGUUGAAUAAGCUGGCACCUUGACGGUACCUAACCAGAAAGCCACGGCUAACUACGUGCCAGCAGCCGCGGUAAUACGUAGGUGGCAAGCGUUAUCCGGAAUUAUUGGGCGUAAAGCGCGCGCAGGUGGUUUCUUAAGUCUGAUGUGAAAGCCCACGGCUCAACCGUGGAGGGUCAUUGGAAACUGGGAGACUUGAGUGCAGAAGAGGAAAGUGGAAUUCCAUGUGUAGCGGUGAAAUGCGUAGAGAUAUGGAGGAACACCAGUGGCGAAGGCGACUUUCUGGUCUGUAACUGACACUGAGGCGCGAAAGCGUGGGGAGCAAACAGGAUUAGAUACCCUG